RNAcentral lists this long non-coding RNA (679 nucleotides) under Numida meleagris (helmeted guineafowl). RNAcentral's name for it is "lncRNA (ENSNMEG00000001774.1)". Lineage: Eukaryota; Metazoa; Chordata; Aves; Galliformes; Numididae. The record is from RNAcentral.
AGUUGCUGAAGUUUUUCACCGGGAGGUGUUACUGAGCCAUCCUGUCUGCACUGAAGGUCAGCACUCUGUCCUCUGAGCCCUCUGCUGUGGUGACACCUGGGUGAUCACUGGGACCCCGUCUUGUUUCUUGAAAUCAGCAGCAGAAGCAAAGAUGUCCUGGGAGAGGGGAGCUGGUGCCCUUAGAAUAGCUGCAUGGAUGAAACAGAGGAUGAAAAAGCUUGAACGCAAAUGCCCCGAUAAUAAACACAAGUGUGUUUAUUGCCAUGCAUUAAAGUGGGACUCCUGCAAUUACAAUAAGAUGCUGCCAAAGAAGAAUGAUCUGUGGAAUACAAGUGAAUCCAGUGCUGACGAGCAUCCCGAAGUCCCACAGGAGGUUAGAAAGAGCACAACUCGCAUUCUGCUUUUUAUCUCUGCUGGGGUUAUGCCGUGCAACUGGGAGAGGACGACGGCAGGAGAAACGAGGGCUGACAGAGGGCUUCUCUCUGCUGUAGGGUCCUUGCUGCUCAUUGAUUGCUUGUGCGGCUGCAUCCCAUUUGGAGGGCAGCAGUCUCCAGUACAAGAGUUUGCGUAUCACCGUGCGGUAAUUAUUUCUACUCCUCUCCUCCUUUUUCCUAAUUGAUUAUUGGUUCUCCCCACAAGAAGAAGUGAAAUAAACAGGCAAAGGCAACAUUUGUCUUCA